GCCGCUCUGGAAUACUCGUAGCGCAUCCAUUUGGGUCCCUGACUACCUUUUCAUCACACUGUCUCUGGUUUCAGACGUGGUGAGCAAGCCCUCACAAGCAGAGGGAAGCCUGAAGCGUCUCACCGGGGAAUGUUGCGACAGAGGUCAGUAAUCCAAGUCUUCCCGCACGGUGUUCCGGAGCAACC
RNAcentral lists this non-coding RNA (185 nucleotides) under Geobacter sp. RNAcentral's name for it is "6S RNA". It matches the Rfam family "6S / SsrS RNA". Rfam says of the family: E. coli 6S RNA was the first non coding RNA to be sequenced, but its function was unknown until recently. It consists of 184 nucleotides that fold into an extended hairpin structure with a large single-stranded internal bulge. The record is from RNAcentral. Lineage: Bacteria; Pseudomonadati; Thermodesulfobacteriota; Desulfuromonadia; Geobacterales; Geobacteraceae. RNAcentral also lists the same sequence under 1 other name.